This 373-nucleotide transfer-messenger RNA is filed under the name Acidobacteriota bacterium. RNAcentral's name for it is "Acidobacteria bacterium (activated sludge metagenome) transfer-messenger RNA". It matches the Rfam family "transfer-messenger RNA". Rfam says of the family: Bacterial tmRNA, also known as 10Sa RNA or SsrA, is named for its dual tRNA and mRNA-like properties. Its role is to liberate the mRNA from a stalled ribosome. Lineage: Bacteria; Pseudomonadati; Acidobacteriota. The record is from RNAcentral. RNAcentral also lists the same sequence under 1 other name.
GGGGGCGACAGGCUUCGACAGGGGCUUGUAUAGAUCUUUGAAUGCACGUCGGGCUUGCAAGGUUAGCUCGUUAAAAAAACUCUGCAAAACACAAAUGCUAAUCAAGAAUUAGCCCUUGCUGCCUAAUUAACUUUAGCUCCAGCAAUGUCUUACCGGAAGUCCGCCUGAUGCGACCGACUAAGGCAUAACUCAGUUCAGGCUCGGGCGCGUUCACCACCUGCGAACACGCUUUAAAGUUAGUCAGGUUAGCCUAUCAGAAGGUCUUGUCUGUUCAUCUGCUUCUGAAAGGCGAAAAUUAAGUGAAUAGACUAAGCGUGUAGAUUUCACUGGUCGCAACCUUUGGAUGCGGGUUCGAUUCCCGCCGCCUCCACCA